UACGAGGGGUGCAAGCGUUAUUCGUAUUUAUUGGGCGUAAAGGGUGCGUAGACGGCUUAUUAAGUCAACUGUUAAAUUCUCCGGCCUAACUGGAGAUCUGCGGUAGAAACUGGUAAGAUUGAGGGUGGAAGAGAGAAGUGGAAUUCUCGGAGUAGCGGUAAAAUGCGUAGAUCUCGAGAGGAACACCGAUGGCGAAGGCGGCUGCCUGGCCCAAUACUGACACUCAGGUGCGACAGCGUGGGGAGCAAACAGG
RNAcentral lists this ribosomal RNA (253 nucleotides) under uncultured bacterium. Its description in RNAcentral is "partial 16S ribosomal RNA". It matches the Rfam family "Bacterial small subunit ribosomal RNA", at positions 524 to 776 of the family's 1533-position model. The record is from RNAcentral.